GCAAAUAGGCGGCAAUAUAUAUCAAAUAAAUAAAUAAAUAAAUAAAUUGUUAAACAAAUGCACAGGUCAUUAACUGCACAUGAGGUAUCUCAAAGUGGGAAGACCAUGGGGAGGGCCUAGUGCUUCCAACCACCCAAGGCCUCUCCUGACCCGCUGAGAUUUCUCGUGUUUCUCCCCCCACUCCCCAUUCUGCCCCGUGGGCCUGACAGGUACCAGGCCUGUGGAGAAUCACUUACCUUUUGAAGAUCUUGAUGAUCAAACCUCUCCAGCCUCUCCACUGUGGUUUCUUUCUCUGCUCCCGGCGCUCCAAAAAUGGAAUGAUGAGAGAGCUGAGGCAGAGUGGGACCAGUCCACCCUGCUCAGCUUGGCUGACUCACCGAGGCUGCCUGCGCAGAACACCAUAUCCGCUUUUGGAGCGCCAGGCAGCCUCAGUGAGUUUGAAGGAGCCUUGAGGAAAAGGGAGGGAGGCCUGUGGGAGCACAAUCUCAUGGCCCAGAAGGCUUCCAUCCUUUUGCAAAAAGCUUUUGGUGAGAAGAACAGAGGCUGCCUGUGCAGGCUUCCAUUCUUCAUGUGAAAAGCUUUUUGGAAAAAGGACAGAAGCUUUUUGGGGGAUGAUUUCACAUCCCUACAUGCUUCUAUCCCCUUUGCUCAAAACUUUUGGCAUAGAGAACAGAUGCCUGCAUCCUCUCACAGGCCUCUGUUCUCUGCAUCAAAGGUCCUUUGCAAAGAGGACAGCAGGUAUGUAAGAAGAUGGCUGCUUUUCUGCCACAUGGCCCUGACUCUAUAGAUCUUUGAAAGAUAAGUGAACAAGAGGCGACAGGAUGGAGUGGAGGGGGGCAGCAUCUCUGUGGUCGGUCAUAAGGGUGAAUGACUGUCAUGCUGCUGCAACAUUCAUAACUUUGGUACUAAAUUGUAACUACUUUGGGGAAGGGGUAUCAUAACUUUAAACCAUUGUUAAGUGAACUGUCAUAACCUGAGGAUUACCUGUAGUUUCCUAGCUCCUUUGGAACUUCUAUAAUUUUUUGAUCUGAAAGUUUAUUCCAGUAUUAUAUUUUUAUGAAAAUAUUAGGAAUUUUAUAUUUGAGUUAUUUAAACGUGCUUGGAUAAAUGCCAUGCAGUAAUAAGGGGAGGGUGUGAAACCAUGUGUUUUACAGUGUAUUGUACGUAACUGUGUUGAGAGAAUAGUAGAGGAUGACAAUGGAGCAAUUAUUCCAUUUUAAAUAGAGCUGUAAAAAUUGAAAUUGCAUCAUGCCACUUUCUAAACAAGAAAAGAAAAACAAGCUUCUUCAGUACUUUUGAAUAUUCUCCUCUUGCUCCUAUUGAAGGGACUCGUGGCUGAGCACUCUCAGUUCCAGAGAAGUUAGAACUCAACAACUUAAUCAGAAGGAAAAUAAAAAGGAAUCCUCAAGUCACUUAUUCUGUCUUCAUGAGGCUUAUUGAAAAUGUAGCAGUAUCAAACUGGCUGGUGGAAAAAAAAACCUCAUACCAAUGCACCUUUUCAAAUAUUACCAUUUACCAGUUAAGCUGCUAGCACAAUGAUAAUCACAAUUUCUGUAGUGACUCAAAAGUCCAGCAAUAUUAUUUUCUGAGACACCUACAUUCUCACCCCACCUUGGUUCACCCAAUCAAAGCUUGGGCAAUGAUAAAACAGGAGAGAGGAGGGUCUCGCACUAAACAAACAGGAACAGAGAAGCCUUAGUGAAAAAGUUUAUAUUAUUGAGUAUAUUUCUUUCAUGACAUUCGGUUGAAGAAGUUAGCAGUGGAACUAGGGCAAUAGAUCUUGUGAU
This is a non-coding RNA of Pseudonaja textilis, 1787 nucleotides long. The record is from RefSeq and is a predicted model, not a curated record. NCBI's taxonomy places the organism in Eukaryota, Metazoa, Chordata, Lepidosauria, Squamata, Elapidae.